CACCCCUCGGAGGGCUUUGCCCCACACUUCCCCGUGCCGCCCCCCGCCCAGCGCAGCGCCUGGGUGACGGGGUCAGGCGUGGCGGGAGAGGGGGAGCGGGAGGUGAAGGUGAAGAGCAGCAGCGGGCUCGGGGCUGGCUGCGGCUGCUCUCUGGGCUGUGCGGCUGUGCCCAGAGGGCGGAGUUCCCGCACGCUGCUGCCUCACCGGAGAACCUGCCCUCGGCGCAGCGCUCCGCAGCCGGGACCCCACCGCCGCCGCCCGCCCCGCACCGCUCUGUGUGGCCCCGUUUCCCCCUGGGCUCGGGGAGCCGGGAGGUGGCGGAGUGGCGCUGCCCCCCUUCCUCGCCCUCGGCUGGGGUUCCCCAGCACCUCUCACACCGCAAAGCGUGUGUCUAACGCCAGGAUUUUUUUUAUUAUUAUUUUUAAAUUUCUGGUCUCUCUUCGAACCGUUUCCUCCCCCCGCCUCCCCUCCCCCUCGCUCCCAUCGGAACCACCACCAGCCCGGGGCGGGGCUGUGUCCGCUUUCGGAGCCUUCGGAGAAGAUGCGAGAGGCGCGGGGAAGGGCGCUCCGUCGGCUUCGAUCACUGGAGGCAAACAUCGAAUUAAUUGGAUCUUGGUGGCUGAGGCUGGUAACAGUGUAUUGAACGGAGUUAUCUGCCACAAUGCCCAGGUGUCUGCCAGAAUGUCAGGACAUUCUAGACCAGAUCUCUCCUCCUGUCUGCCGGGAGGGCUGAACUGUAAAUCUGUCUCGAGUGAUGCACCCUACACCGUGGGUAGGUGCGUCAUUUCGGAGCCGGAGAGAGAUGGGAGCUUAUCCGAGGAGCUUUCAGACACCUCCGUGGGAUGGGUCGUUAGGGAGUGCCGGAAUCCACAGGAAAUUGCAGAUCUAACAUGUGAGGAACAUAAAGCCCUGCUCUCUGACAGUGGGAACGCAAAUACACAGACACGCGGGACUGAGCCUGGUACUUGCUGA
Molecule: long non-coding RNA, 972 nt
Filed under: Coturnix japonica (Japanese quail)
Lineage: Eukaryota; Metazoa; Chordata; Aves; Galliformes; Phasianidae
Description: lncRNA (ENSCJPG00005017564.1)
Source: RNAcentral